UCUCGGCUCCCGCAUCGAUGAAGAACGUAGCGAAAUGCGAUACUUGGUGUGAAUUGCAGAAUCCCGUGAACCAUCGAGUCUUUGAACGCAAGUUGCGCCCGAAGCCAUUCGGCCGAGGGCACGUCUGCCUGGGCGUCACGCAU
This 143-nucleotide ribosomal RNA is filed under the name Pedicularis duclouxii. Its description in RNAcentral is "5.8S ribosomal RNA". It matches the Rfam family "5.8S ribosomal RNA", at positions 19 to 154 of the family's 154-position model. Rfam says of the family: 5.8S ribosomal RNA (5.8S rRNA) is a component of the large subunit of the eukaryotic ribosome. It is transcribed by RNA polymerase I as part of the 45S precursor that also contains 18S and 28S rRNA. Lineage: Eukaryota; Viridiplantae; Streptophyta; Magnoliopsida; Lamiales; Orobanchaceae. The record is from RNAcentral.